Oreochromis niloticus (Nile tilapia) is the source of this 589-nucleotide long non-coding RNA. RefSeq lists it as uncharacterized. The record is from RefSeq and is a predicted model, not a curated record. NCBI's taxonomy places the organism in Eukaryota, Metazoa, Chordata, Actinopteri, Cichliformes, Cichlidae. The transcript has 2 exons.
CCACUCUGGUGUGAGCGUUCUGUGACCGCCCUUGUAUACAAGAUCCAGGACUGAUUCCUGACGCCGUGGGAAGCCAGCACCGAAGUCUGUGCACAGCCCUCUUAGACGAGGCCGAAAGCCCUGGGACGUUUAAAUUCGGGUCCAGGCCGGUGUUUUUAGUCUGGUCCACGGCAGUGGGAUUCAGUCUGGCGAUCCGAAUCACCAGUGAGACGUCUGAGGGUGAGAAACACUAUUUUGGUUAGGAAUCGCCAUAAUGAACCGACAAAAUAAAAUAGGUUAGGAAUCGCCUUAAUGAACCGACAAAUAAAAUAGGUUAGGAAUCGCCAUAAGGAACCGAAUUAGUAAAAGCGCGCAAAUGUCUAUGUGUGUGUGUAUGUGUCUGGAAGUAAGUUGAUUUUACAGCACAAUACGCUGCUGAACUACUUCUAUUUUAUUUGUUUUCUUUGCUGAGGCUCACGUACUGGUGACAAAUGAGAACGGUUGAGUUUUAUCUCGUAAAACUGAUACCGCUUCAUUUUUUAGAAGUGAAGUAGAAGGGCGUAUCAGCAACCACUCUGAAGUCAAGCGUGCCAGUGACAGCCCAGCAAAA